RNAcentral lists this long non-coding RNA (5903 nucleotides) under Sorghum bicolor (sorghum). RNAcentral describes it as "long non-coding RNA (SBIC_LNC002281)". The record is from RNAcentral. Lineage: Eukaryota; Viridiplantae; Streptophyta; Magnoliopsida; Poales; Poaceae.
UUGCCUUCUGUAAUGUAAUGUUUCCAAGCAGGCUUCUAAAGACAAUGUUAAUUUAUCUGCGAGCACGUACUGGGUACCUGGUAAAGUUUCUAAUAAGUACCUGAACUAUGGAGCUGGUAUAAGUGAGGUGUGCCAAAAUUCUCAAGACUAAUUUGCAACAGCGGAGUUAAAUCAUGUUUGUAUGUCUUAUAGGUGAUACUCUUUCUAUUCGAAUCUUCUGAAAGUGCAGGUGGAGAUUGAUCUUCUUACAGGAGCAAUUACUUUACUAAGGGGUGAUCUUGUGUACGACUGUGGGAAGAGCAUGAACCCUGCUGUGGACUUAGGACAGGUUUGCCAUUGAUCCUUUCCUGCUUCCUAUCUUAACCAAUUUUAAUUCUUAAUGUAGUUCAUUGAUUUAUAGACCAUAAGUUUGGACUGGAUGAGGACUAUAAUUAAAUACACGCAAAAUAUGAAGCAGAUUUUCUGUUCAUUGUUUGAUGUAGAUUAGAGAGUUAACUGACAUGCUAACAAUGAGAUGCAACUCACCGAUAGAACUAACAUUGAGCUAUUUCAGCAUUUCCCUUGUCAAGAGUUUGUUGUGCUCCAUACUUAUCUUUUUGAACCUAUGUUCAAAAUAGCGGGAUUUAGCGUCUGAGCAUUGCUGGCGCUAGGCUUUCACGUUUCUAGCACUAGAAUCUUUCAGCCGCUAAUAACUGCUAAUAGCGCGUUAAAUCCGCUAAACUGACCUCUAUUUAGCGCCGCUAUUGGGCCAAAUCAGCUCGUGCGAACUCCCUUAGCCCAAAAUCGCAAGCAUCCAGUCUAUCAUGAGGCUGUAUAGAGCCGGCGGCGAGUAACCCUAUCCAUUCCUCUCUAAAUGUCGCGAAGAAAAACGCUAGUGGCAAUGGCGCCACUGCGUCUGGCGGCGUCGACGGCUACAACCUGGCAUGCUAGCUUGAGAGCAAGGGCAGAGGACCGGGGCAGAUGACCAUGAACGACGGUAGUUGCUAGCUUCUUUCUUCUCCAGCUGCAUGAUUGGCUUUCGAGUUCCGUUUGUUCUCUGUUCUUUACUUUUUUUAAUACUUAAAUUGUAAUGUCUGGAUAUGUACGAACUAUGAAGCUCUGAUGUGUUAGUAAGACUUACUAUCUAUCACUAGUUAGAUAUUAGAUGGUAAUUGGUAUUUGUAAUGUCUUUGUCUUCUAUGUUUAUUAUGUGUAAAGUUACCUAAUGCUUAUAUAUUUCUUUGCUCAACCGCUAAAUGACUUAGCCUACUAUAGCCUUUCUUAGCUUUUGAGAAAGCCAGCCGCUAAGAGGCUUAGCCCGCUAUUUAAAACUUUGUUUUGAACAUAUAAAGCCAAAGGACUUUAGCCAGGUGGUUAGAGCUUUCCUGUGGCACACCCCUGAGUUCGACUCCUCAUGGGAGCGAAUUUUAGGCUAGGGGUAAAAAAAAUCCCCUCGCUGUGCCACCCUGUGUGGGACAGCCCGGCCUGUGGCAACAGUGGUGGCUCAACCUGGGGGUUGUGGACUUGUGGCAGUGGUCGCUGGUCCAGGCUACCGUCUGCUUCACGGGUGAGGCUGGGGUACCAAGACUUUCUUCUUAGUAUAAAAACUGUGGGGCAGUCUUUCCCCACCGGCUGAGUUAUUUUUUAAAACAUAUAAGUACAACUAAGUACAGGCAAAGGGUUUUGCAACAUAUCUAGUGCCUCAUUGGGCUCGUGUACAUUAAUUUGAUGGCACCAUAUCUUAUCCAUGGAAUUUAUCUUGCAGAUUGAAGGUUCCUUUAUAAAGGGAAUUGGGUUUUUCGUAUAUGAAGAGUAUCUUACAAACAGUGAUGGCCUCAUGAUUAGCAACAGCACAUGGGACUACAAGAUCCCAACUGUCGACAUAAUCCCAAAACAGUUCAAUGCUGAGGUGCUGAACACUGGAUACAAUAAGAACCGUGUGCUUUCUUCCAAAGGUAGUCACUUUAGUUAUUUCGUCAUUGCAGUAUAUAUUGAAGUAGGCUUGGUACAUACCAAUCAAUUUGUACUGUUUCUGCCAGCUGCUGGUGAACCUGCCUUGGUUCUUGCCUCAUCCGUUCAUUGUGCACUGAGAGAAGCUAUCCGAGCAGCGAGAAUGGAGUUUGCAAACAGCACUGUAUCUGGACGCUCACCGCUGGAAUUCAAGAUGGAUGUCCCUGCACCAAUGACGCUGGUGAAACAACUAUGUGGUUUAGAUAUUGUGGAGAAGUACCUAGAAAGUCUAUCUACCUAGAAAGGAGUGGUAUCAUCUUUGUUGUUGUAGUUUGCAAUAAAACAGAAAGGAGGAAGGAGGAUUUCCAUUUCCCUCAAUGGAAAUAGGGUUUCCUCGUGUGGAAAGGAAGGAGGGAGGUGUUAAAUUAGCACAAUAUUUGAAUAAUGCUUUCAACCAUCUGUAUUCAUAUGACUCUUAAGACCAACCACCUUUCUCUCAUUGACAUGAACAUUGGGUUGUAUAUCAGAUGCAUAACCAGCAGGAAACUUUACCACUUUUAGCACUUGACAAAAUAACUUUUUCUCAUCAGGACACACUGAAUAUGGUGCAGGUGGUAAAUACAAUUGGUCUUCAAGUUCAACAGGGUGGAGAUCAUUUCUAAUACCUAGAGUUUGAAGGUCUAAGCGAGAAUUCAGAUUAUCCUUAGAUUUCCCAUCAGUACCCAAGAAUGUAUUGACAAAUUUCUCAUACACAUUCUUCCCUAUAUGCAUGACAUCAAAAUUAUCCCGCAGGCAACAUCAAAUCUUUCCAAUAUGUUUGAACCAAAUAGAUCUCCUUUUGAAAAUGACUAAUGGCUCCCCUGCCUUGGGUCUCUUGGUUGCUGGUUUCUUUCUAGAUGGAUCCUUUCCAAAAAUUGCAACAAUAUCUUUAGAAUUUUUUCCCUAGAAAGAGGAGUAGGUGCUGUCCUAAGUUCAGUUGAACCAAAUUUAUGGACAUCAAGCCUAAAUGGGUGAUUCUCGGGCAGAAACCUACGAUGACCCAUAUAACAUGUCUUGCUGCCAUUACCUAGUCUAAGUGAACAUGUAUAGGAGUGGCAAUGUGGACAUGCUGCUUUACCGGAUGUUACACAUCCAAAUGCAUAGCCUAGACCAAGAAAAUCAGUAAUUGUCCACAAUACUGCUGCACGCAAUUGGAAGUGCUCACGCUUCGAAGCAUCAUAAGAAGUGGCUCAAAAUAAAUAUCCAUAUCACUACCAGGAGCAUGCCGUCUAGGAAUCAAUAGAGAAAGGAUGAAAUUUGAUUGCUUCAUACACAUUGAAGAUGGAAAAUUAUAGGGAAUACAUAUGCCAGGACAAAUGCUAUAGCUACUAUUUUGGGAUCUAUAUGGGUUGAAACCAUCAGUGGCAAAUGCAAGUCGGAUAUUGCGGCUAUCUACAACAAACUCUGGAUGAUUUACAUCAAAGUCUUUCCAUAGAGGAGAAUCUGCAGGAUGCCUAAGAACACCAUCUCUUGUUCUGUCCUCAUCAUGCCAUCUUGUUAGACUUGCUAUUUUAGAAGAUAGAAACAAUCUUUGGAGACUUUUCUUUAUUGGAAAGUAGCGAAGAACUUUCUUAGGGACCUUAUAUACAUGUUUUCCAUCUAGACUCUUCCUAACUGACUUCCACCUAGAAACCUUACAUUUUGGACAUGACUUGGAUUUUUCAUGCUUCUUUUGAUAGAGGAUGCAAUCAUUUUUCACAAGCAUGAAUGCUAAUGUAACCAAGUCCUAUGGAUUUGAUCAAUUUCUUAGCUUCAUAGAACUUUCUAGGCAAUGCAGAACCCUUAGGUAAUGCAUCAUUUAACAGAUCAAGUAGAAGGUCAAAACUUCUAUCGGUCCAUCCUCCAAGGAGUUUGAUGGGAAGUACCCUAAUUAGGAAGCACAAUUUUGUAUACUUCUUGCAAGUAGGGUACAACUCUUGACUAUUGGCUUCUUCCAACCUCUGAAGGGCAAGUAGCUCAUCACUAGGCUGAAAAGAACUGUUGUCUUCAAAAUCCCCUCUAUCAUCUAAACCACAAGCUAGAUCUCUAAGCAAUUCAGAUACAUCAUCUUCUUCAGUGGACUGUUCAAUAAGAUCAACAUCAACAUUAUUUCUAUGAUUCUCAUAAGAUGUACUUUCUUCUCCAUGUAAGUUCCAUGUUGUGUACCCUUGUAUAAACCCAUCGCAUAUUAGGUGCUCACGUACAUCACUAGCCUCUCUCCAAAAUGAGUUAAAUACAUUUUCUACAAGGACAUAAUAUCUUGUCCCCUACUGCUGAAUUUCUAAAUGCAAAAGCUAGAAAACCGUUCACCCCUUGUAAAUAUUUCUUUGUGUGCCUACAUGCAGGGAUGAAAACAGUACAGAUAUUUUGCGACCAUAUUCGAGACCAAAUUCGUUUAGGGGGUUCAGAUCUGUCCGUAUUCGAAUCCGAAUAAUCAACAUCUGAUACCGUAUCCGUAUCCGAAUACUUAAAUCGUAUAUUUAUGAUGUCGACAUCUAAUCCUAUCUUAUCCAAAAUGGUUGACAUUAUCCGUAUUCGAAUCCGAAUCCGACCAGAAAUAUAAAAACAAAUAUGGUAUCGGUGAUAUCCGUUCAUAUCCGAUCCGUUUUCAUCCGUACCUACAUGGAAUGUAUUAUGUAAAAUCUCAUGGUCACUACAAAACACUUUUUAAUAUUUGUAAAGUAGUUGUGUUGUACCUAUGCUCAUUAUUAAUCCAUGUUUUAUCCAUACACCUUUACAGGAAGGUCACACCACGCUCAGAUUAAAUCUUUUUGGAGAGAAUACAACCACACAACAUAAGCUUUAAAAAAAAGCAAUGUGACAUCAAGUGAAUGGAACUCGAGAAACAAAAUCAUACUGUUGCGCAAAGCUCCGACAUCCAACAACUAUGAAUAUUGUAGUUCUACAAAAAAAGUUCAAACUUCUUGCAGCUACAGGUUUUGCUCCUGCGAAGGUAGUAUGCAUCAGAUAUAAAUUAUCAAGAAAUAGAGACAACAGGGCAACAGGCCAACAGUCCUAGUGUUGUAGUGUUUGCUUAAUAAAUACAGAUUAGUUUCUUCCUAUAUGGCCAUCAAACUGAACAUAUACAGUCCCCUGCAUUCUCUUGUUCCUUACUAUUUAUGAUCAUUGUACAUGGUCACCAGUACAUACACCCUGUACCCUAUGUGUAACAGGUACCAAGAGAUAACAUAAAGAAUUUUGCUAAUACCAUGAAAAUACAGAAAUAAAAGGAAACUACAUAAGGAUGGAAGGAAUAUAAUAGAAUCACAAACAAGAAAGGAUAGGCUACAGACCUGAAGAACCCAGAUGCUCACAAGUGUCUCCAAGCAAAACAAGGCAAAUCUGAUCAGACAAAGUAAAGAUCUGAAAGGGAAAAUGAUUUAAUGUCAGAUUUUUCACUUUUUACCUUCUAAAUUGAAAUGAAAACACAUUCCAUAAUAAAAGCAACAAAUCGUGGCUUACAGUUUAACAAGAUGCAAACUCAAACCAAAUGAAGCAAAAAAGGACAUACCAUGGCUGUGCAGUGAAGACUCGAGGGAGGGGAUGGUCUGAAGGUGGCGUCCUGGUGCCGGCAGACGGCCUGGCAGGUCUGGGUGCCCUGUGCCCUGGUCGUGCGGCCGUUGAGGGGACUGGUUUGUGCCCCUUCGCCCUGCACCCCCUGCCGUGUCCGUUCGCCCCGCGCCUCGCACCCCCUGUUGUGCCCCUUCGCGGCUUCAGUGGAGGGGACUGGCUGAGGAGAUUGGCUAUGGAGGAGAUCGUCUGGCUGAGGGUGUAGAUCCUCGCUCGUGGAGGGAAUUGGCUGGGCUGCAGGACUGGGCUGGGCGGUGGUGGCUUAGGAGCUCAGUUGAGGAUAGGGUUUGGCCUGAGCCCUGCUAGUGGGAUUUGGGGGCAAUUUGUGUGGCGUGGGACUUGGUGAGAGGAGGGAAUCCACGGUGGAUUGGAGUUUUCGUGGAGGC